UAUAAGUGUGUAAAUAAAAUACGGUACUUUAUUAGUAUUUGUGAUCGCCAUGCAGGCGUGAAAACGAUAUUUUGUAUGGGUAAUUUUCUUCCGUGCUAGGUCAGCAUAAUGUGUAUAAUCAUCAUAAGUCAUCAACUUACAAAAAAGUGGAUAAUGAAGCGUGUAAGACGUACCUUUCAUAUGGUAAAGGAUGGGUACUGGGAUGCUUUGCAACUGACACUGUUUCAUUUAACGGAGUUGAGAUUGAAAACAGACCACUCAUUGAAGCUGUUGUAGCAUCCGAAGACUUCGCAACAGAUGAAUACGAUGGUAUAUUGGGAUUGGAUUACGCAAGAGGAAAGGAAUCUGAACACAUCGUAUCACAAUUUUGCAGAAAACUAAAUCAAAAUAAGUAGUACAUUUUCAUUCUACUUGAACAAGGAUAUAACAAAUACCAAUGGAGGUGAAUUAGUGUUAUGCGGGGUGGAUGAAUCGAAGUUUACCGGUCAGUUGCAUUAUACUAAUGUUGAAGAAUCCUCACCAUGGCCGUGGACAAUACCAGUGAAAAAAAUUUCGAUGCAACUUGGUGCAAAGACCAUUGAAUUGCCAACUUCAAACGAUACCGCAUUAAUUGACACUGGCACAUCCGUCAUCAUUGCACCGCCAAAGCAUGCUGCGAUCAUUUAUGAAGUUACAAGUGCCAUUGUAGAAAACGGCACGGCUUGGGUGGACUGUCAAACCAUUGAUGAGCUGCCCAACAUAACGUUCACGAUUGGUGAAAAAAAUUUCGUACUCACAGGACGCGACUACAUUUUACAAUCAAAAGAAACGGGUCAGAAAUGUGAGAUUGGCAUUGACGGGUAUUUCACUAAUAGUCGAUCAGUUUGGAUUUUUGGCGAUGUUUUCCUCAGAAAAUUCUACAGCACAUAUGACAUAGACAAUCAUCGAAUUGGACUGGCCGAAAGCAAACAUGAUUCAAUGUAACUGAUCGUCGCUUAUUGUCUGGCAAAUAAUACACUCAUCAUAAGGAAAGCAGUGCAGCCGGCAUAGUUUCUUCGAAUGCAGACAUGAGCACAAUAAGCACGGUCGCCUGAAUGAGCAAAAAGUAUUGAAAAAAAAAACUAAGCUUACUGCUCAAGUUUUUUCUAAUAUUUAAGUGAAUAUUUUAAGAAUUCAAUGUCAAAUCAAAAGCAG
This is a long non-coding RNA of Planococcus citri (citrus mealybug), 1173 nucleotides long. RefSeq lists it as uncharacterized. The transcript is spliced from 6 exons. The record is from RefSeq and is a predicted model, not a curated record. Lineage: Eukaryota; Metazoa; Arthropoda; Insecta; Hemiptera; Pseudococcidae.